Molecule: ribosomal RNA, 1538 nt
Filed under: Klebsiella pneumoniae
Lineage: Bacteria; Pseudomonadati; Pseudomonadota; Gammaproteobacteria; Enterobacterales; Enterobacteriaceae
Description: bacterial SSU rRNA
Rfam family: Bacterial small subunit ribosomal RNA
Source: RNAcentral
AAAUUGAAGAGUUUGAUCAUGGCUCAGAUUGAACGCUGGCGGCAGGCCUAACACAUGCAAGUCGAGCGGUAGCACAGAGAGCUUGCUCUCGGGUGACGAGCGGCGGACGGGUGAGUAAUGUCUGGGAAACUGCCUGAUGGAGGGGGAUAACUACUGGAAACGGUAGCUAAUACCGCAUAACGUCGCAAGACCAAAGUGGGGGACCUUCGGGCCUCAUGCCAUCAGAUGUGCCCAGAUGGGAUUAGCUAGUAGGUGGGGUAAUGGCUCACCUAGGCGACGAUCCCUAGCUGGUCUGAGAGGAUGACCAGCCACACUGGAACUGAGACACGGUCCAGACUCCUACGGGAGGCAGCAGUGGGGAAUAUUGCACAAUGGGCGCAAGCCUGAUGCAGCCAUGCCGCGUGUGUGAAGAAGGCCUUCGGGUUGUAAAGCACUUUCAGCGGGGAGGAAGGCGAUAAGGUUAAUAACCUUGUCGAUUGACGUUACCCGCAGAAGAAGCACCGGCUAACUCCGUGCCAGCAGCCGCGGUAAUACGGAGGGUGCAAGCGUUAAUCGGAAUUACUGGGCGUAAAGCGCACGCAGGCGGUCUGUCAAGUCGGAUGUGAAAUCCCCGGGCUCAACCCGGGAACUGCAUUCGAAACUGGCAGGCUAGAGUCUUGUAGAGGGGGUAGAAUUCCAGGUGUAGCGGUGAAAUGCGUAGAGAUCUGGAGGAAUACCGGUGGCGAAGGCGGCCCCUGGACAAAGACUGACGCUCAGGUGCGAAAGCGUGGGGAGCAAACAGGAUUAGAUACCCUGGUAGUCCACGCCGUAAACGAUGUCGAUUUGGAGGUUGUGCCCUUGAGGCGUGGCUUCCGGAGCUAACGCGUUAAAUCGACCGCCUGGGGAGUACGGCCGCAAGGUUAAAACUCAAAUGAAUUGACGGGGGCCCGCACAAGCGGUGGAGCAUGUGGUUUAAUUCGAUGCAACGCGAAGAACCUUACCUGGUCUUGACAUCCACAGAACUUUCCAGAGAUGGAUUGGUGCCUUCGGGAACUGUGAGACAGGUGCUGCAUGGCUGUCGUCAGCUCGUGUUGUGAAAUGUUGGGUUAAGUCCCGCAACGAGCGCAACCCUUAUCCUUUGUUGCCAGCGGUUAGGCCGGGAACUCAAAGGAGACUGCCAGUGAUAAACUGGAGGAAGGUGGGGAUGACGUCAAGUCAUCAUGGCCCUUACGACCAGGGCUACACACGUGCUACAAUGGCAUAUACAAAGAGAAGCGACCUCGCGAGAGCAAGCGGACCUCAUAAAGUAUGUCGUAGUCCGGAUUGGAGUCUGCAACUCGACUCCAUGAAGUCGGAAUCGCUAGUAAUCGUAGAUCAGAAUGCUACGGUGAAUACGUUCCCGGGCCUUGUACACACCGCCCGUCACACCAUGGGAGUGGGUUGCAAAAGAAGUAGGUAGCUUAACCUUCGGGAGGGCGCUUACCACUUUGUGAUUCAUGACUGGGGUGAAGUCGUAACAAGGUAACCGUAGGGGAACCUGCGGUUGGAUCACCUCCUUA